Molecule: ribosomal RNA, 479 nt
Filed under: uncultured bacterium
Lineage: Bacteria
Description: bacterial SSU rRNA
Rfam family: Bacterial small subunit ribosomal RNA
Source: RNAcentral
GACGAACGCUGGCGGCGUGCUUAACACAUGCAAGUCGAACGGUGAAGGGAAGCUUGCUUCCCGGAUCAGUGGCGAACGGGUGAGUAACACGUGGGCAAUCUGCCCCAGACUUUGGGAUAACUACUCGAAAGAGUAGCUAAUACCGAAUAUUCAGCCUUGCAGGCAUCUGCGAGGCUGGAAAGUUUCUCGGUCUGGGAUGAGCCCGCGGCCUAUCAGCUAGUUGGUGAGGUAAUGGCUCACCAAGGCGACGACGGGUAGCCGGCCUGAGAGGGCGACCGGCCACACUGGGACUGAGACACGGCCCAGACUCCUACGGGAGGCAGCAGUGGGAAUAUUGCGCAAUGGGCGAAAGCCUGACGCAGCAACGCCGCGUGCGGGAUGAAGGCCUUCGGUUGUAAACCGCUUCAGCAGGAAGAAGCGAAAGUGACGGUACCUGCAGAAGAAGCACCGGCUAACUACGUGCCGAGCAGCCGCGGUAA